Molecule: transfer RNA, 69 nt
Filed under: Stegodyphus mimosarum
Lineage: Eukaryota; Metazoa; Arthropoda; Arachnida; Araneae; Eresidae
Rfam family: tRNA
About the family: Transfer RNA (tRNA) molecules are approximately 80 nucleotides in length. Their secondary structure includes four short double-helical elements and three loops (D, anti-codon, and T loops). Further hydrogen bonds mediate the characteristic L-shaped molecular structure. tRNAs have two regions of fundamental functional importance: the anti-codon, which is responsible for specific mRNA codon recognition, and the 3' end, to which the tRNAs corresponding amino acid is attached (by aminoacyl-tRNA synthetases). tRNAs cope with the degeneracy of the genetic code in two manners: having more than one tRNA (with a specific anti-codon) for a particular amino acid; and 'wobble' base-pairing, i.e. permitting non-standard base-pairing at the 3rd anti-codon position.
Source: Rfam by way of RNAcentral
GCAUGUGGUAUAAUGGUAGCACACUCGGCGCGUAUUCGAGAGGUCCAGGUUCGAGUCCUGGCGAGGGCA